Molecule: long non-coding RNA, 2967 nt
Organism: Zonotrichia leucophrys gambelii
Lineage: Eukaryota; Metazoa; Chordata; Aves; Passeriformes; Passerellidae
Exons: 3
Source: RefSeq, a predicted model, not a curated record
GGGCACUGAAAGCCCUGACUGUCCCUGCCUGGCCCCCUUGAGGCUCUUGUCACCUGUCCUCAGCCCAGGACUCCAUCUCAGUCUCAGAACUGACAAACUCUGCCCCAGCAAUGCUGCCGCAAGGACCUUGUCUGGCUCCCCACAGCCCUGCCCUGCUGAUCAAUGGGCCCCACUGACCUGGGCCUCUCCACAGGUGUCCCCAUUCCUGGGGGGCGUGCCCAAAGCCCAGGGCUGCCCAUGGUGCCCUUUGCUCCUAGUUAGGGCUGUAAGAGCACUCAGGUCCAGCAGAGCCACUCAUCCAUGCCCUGGGCAAAACAGAUGCAUCAAUGCAUGUUAGAGGUGAUGAAGAUGUGUCCUUAUCUGGAGGCUUCUCAGUGGUGCCAAAUAUAGCAUUUAAUUUCUGGAGAUGGGUCAGAGUGGACAGAGGUCACCUACAGUGGUCAUGGAAGGAAGACAGAAGACAGAAGACAAAGGAGAAGGAACUGCUGAAUAGAAUGGCACUCUACCAGUCUUGAUCUCCACGUCAGCAGGCACACUGAAGGAUGCCAGAUGUUUUUCUACUCUAGGCAAUUUGCUGCCUUACUUUUGGCUUCUGCCCAGAGCUGCCCUGUUUUCCUGGCGAAAUGUUCCCAUUUUCUCAUCUUUUCAAUGCAUUCACAAAAGAUCACUGCAAACACACAACGCUGCUCUCUGUGAGAAGCUCUCUUUUAAGGGGCUGUCUACUGAAAGCCCUGAAAAGAGGUAAGCAGUUACUCACUCAUCCUGGAUGCGUAAGUAGGGACUAAUUAUUGAAAAACACCCACCAUAUUGUAUCAACAGUAGCAUGGUAAAGUAAAAGAAAAGGCCUUGCCUCAAAAAUGUUCUCUACAUUGUGCAGGGAAGAAGAUAAAUAGUUGACUGACUGGUGAAAGAGGUUUCAAGAUCCAAAUCUCUUUUACAGCUGGGAAGGCCACUUAUUCUGGGUUUGUAAUUUCGGAGGUGUGGGUGUAGCCGUGCUGCUACUGGGCACAGCACCUGGAGUCCUUCAUGGGCAUUAGGAAGGCACUUGGGCUAAGCAUGUCCUGGCAUGUAUAUGAUGCAGCUGGAUAACUGGAUCUAGUAACUGUGCAAUUGUUUUGUUCAUGUUUCAUUUCUUCCUUAUGCAGCUACAAAAUCCUGUGUAAAUAAACAAUAGUGUUUCCUGCUUUAAACAAGGCAGGAAAUUUCCCCAGUUUAAACUCAGAUCAGCAGUUUAGCAAGUGAGACAGGAGGGUGCUGCUGAAGCUGGGGGUGGCAGUGGAGCAGGCAGGAAGACAGGAUGCAGCCCCACAGUGUUGGGGGAUAGGGGACAGCAGGGAGCAGUGGCAGCAGCCAGGGGCACCCAGCAGGACCACUACACGAGGAUAAUGAUGUCAGUCCAGGAUGGGUCACAGCUGAGUGCAGGGACAUGCAUGACCAGACACAAGAUCACAGGGUUACCUGCAGGAGAGCUCAAGCCAGACUUUAUCCAGAACAUUAUGCGGUUCCCAGGAGAAGCAGAGAGUGUCCCAUGGGGCUUCUCACACUUUCUGCUCUGCAGCUGUGCUCAGCAACUUGGAAGCACAACUGUGCUUUGUCGGAGCAGUCAUGAGCACAAAUGCACAAACCCAGAGAGGGGAUGGAUGGGUGGAAGGAGGUUGCAGAAUCUGGUAGUGCACUGAGGGUCAACAGUGACUGCCAGUGUUCAUACAGACGUUGUGCUUCAGCAAUGACUAAGGUGGCAUUCAAGGGGUCCAUUUGUGAACAUAUUAACAAGCCAAUAUUGACAAAGAUAAUAUCAUUGUUUUUGUAACUGUUUGGAAUUCUCCAGGAUGGAUUUUUCAAUCGUCUGAACUUCCUGUGCAGUCUCACAGACGGUAGAAGACUGGGAGUGUCAGGAGAUAAGGAGAGUAAUUUGAGGAAUACUAAGCAGGAAAUUAAACUUAGAAAUAAACCUUGACAAUGGUUUUCAUGUCGUCAAUGUAUAAAUUAAAUACACCAUGAAGUAGGAAUAGUUAAUUAAAUCUUCUUAGAAUUAUUGCCAAUUAGUUAUUUUUAAAAAACUGAUGACAGCCAUUAAAGUAUGUUGUUGUGAAAGGAAUUCUGCUCAACAGAUCUAAAGCAGUGUUUUCUGCUCCAUGUAGAGCUAAAUUGUGAUUUCUCAGAGUAUAAAUCAUGGGGGGGGGUGGGUAGUUUCACUCCUGGUCUACAUCUUCUGUAUCUUUUUUUGGAUAGUUUGACCAGUUGACAAUAAAAUGCUUUUCCCAGCACUUGAUUUAUGUUUAUGACUUGAAACAUUUUUUCCUGGGUGCAACAAAUUCUUCUGCAUUUACAAUACAUGACACUGGUUUAUAAAAAAUUUGCUGAGUGCAAGCACAACAUAUUCAUUCUCAAAUCCAGUAAUUCUGUAAGUUGUUAAAGAACUUUCUGAGAAAUAUUUAUGCAUUAUGAGGCUUUCAAAUGCUUUCUGGUAAAGAAUAUGCAAAGAACAACCUACUGCCUUAAUUUUGUGUGGAGGGAUGAUGUAUUUGCAGAGGCAAUUUACUCAAAUAUAUAUGAUAGAUAAUGCAAUUGCAUUCCUAAAAAAAAUAAAAAGGAAUCUUCCUUCAAGAGUCCCUCUUAAUUGGCUACUUCAUCUUUUUACUUAUUGGUCUUCAGGUUACUCUUUAAAUCUCAGAGAAAUUUAAACUGAAGUAAUAAACUUAGUGCCUAAAUAGUUAUGUUCUUUAAAAGCUAUAAUCAAGUUGUCUGCUUAACAUAAACAGAUUGUAUGUAGAUCUGUUUAAUGUUUUACAAGUAUAUCAUUUUUAUGCAGAGCAGCGUCUUUACAGGGAACUCAGCCUGUCACUGGAUGUUUAAAUUUUCAGUGUCUGUUGUCAUGGCAACAUGAAUUGACUCUGGUACCCACUGUGCUCAGCAUAAAUUAAUUUAAAGUCAUAGUACUUUUCUUUUCCUUGGAUUUAUUGUGGU